Molecule: long non-coding RNA, 258 nt
Filed under: Nicotiana benthamiana
Lineage: Eukaryota; Viridiplantae; Streptophyta; Magnoliopsida; Solanales; Solanaceae
Description: long non-coding RNA (NBEN_LNC024822)
Source: RNAcentral
GCUUAAGUACGAAUUCCUAAACUUCAUUUCAGCUUCUAUUUUUAACUAACUCAACUGAUUUGUACUCCUCCGCAAGCCUAAGGUACAACUGGUUUAAGCUACUCGUAUCAGAUCCCCCUUGUCAAAAUCUUCCUUCUCCUCAAGGAAGGAAAGAUGGGAACCCUGUCCUCAAGGAAUGAUAUUCCUCCCAAGUUGCCUACUCUGAUGUAGUGUUCUCCCACUGGACAAGUACUUGAGCUAUGGCUUCGUUUCUUUUUU